Molecule: long non-coding RNA, 2821 nt
Filed under: Homo sapiens (human)
Lineage: Eukaryota; Metazoa; Chordata; Mammalia; Primates; Hominidae
Description: HSALNT0355704
Source: RNAcentral
UUCCUUGAACAGUGUGCACUUGAGGAACGAAUUAAGACCCGUAAACAAGGAUGAAAGCCCCCGCCCCGCAGACUUCAGCUCCUCCUCCAUGAAGGACGCCGCCUGGGAGGUGAGUCCAGGCCGGGCCAGGGAGGGCCUCCUGUGGGAAGGUGCAUUUUCACCUUACAGCCGGGAAGUAGACAGCUGCGUCACAGUUUCACUCAUGCCGGUCUCUUCCUGUGCACAUUCAAUGUUAACAUUAUUCUGGCAAAAGCCUUGCUGCAGAUAGUCUCUCCGGUCCCUCCUACAUCUCUUUCCAGAAGACAGUUUAAAAGGACACAUUUCAUCACCUCUCAGAAGGGGUUAACAUCACAGAAUUCCAAGUCUGAGGGUGGAGCCCUGAUCCUGAGAAGGUUUUGUUGAGUUCGGGACAGUAUUUCUUUACCCAUCCUUCAUGAAGAUAAAAAAUGAGGCAAAAUAGACACUAAAAUGGUCUCUGACAUCUCCUCAUGCCACCAGACAAGGAGUAACCAUGGUAACAAGAAGCCUAGAAAAAUUGGGGAAUGAGGAAGACCAGGAAUGAGAGCUCCCCUCAGCCCUGGGGGGACCUGAGUGUCCACAGCUGAGCCUUCUCUGCUUCCCUUUUCUCUUCUGGAUUCUGAUGGAGGAUAUUUUCAUCUUCCUCCCAAAAUCAUCAGAAAGCAUAAGGACAUAUAUAAACCGCUUUGCAAAAAGAGAGUGUAUGGAAUAAAAGAGAAAAUGAAGAAGAGGAGAAAGGCUGGAGUGCAAUGGUGUGAUCUCAGCUCACUGCAGCCUCAACCUCCCUGGCUCAGGUGAUUCUCCCACCUCAGCUUCCUGAUUAACUGGGAUUACAGUAAUGGUGAAAUUGCCGGUAAUCGCUAAGUAAAAACCACUGAAGAACAGGACAGAAGCCAAUGACCACCUCACCUCCACCGAGUGCCCUGCAGAAAAAGGAAAUGGAAAUCCUUCCUGUUAUUCUCCGCGUCCCUUCGUAGAAGGCUGCCUGAGAGAAAGGAUGGUUUCCUUGAAGUCUAGAAAAUUUUGUUCCAGUCCAUUUCAACGGUGCAGGAGAAACGUGGCUUCCAUUCCGAGGAAGACGGCGACACCUAGUGACCGUUCCCUCGCGGUGCGAUGGCCUCACACCUGUGCGGCGGGUCGUCCGGGGCGUAGGGUGCUGCGGCCUUGCGGUCUUCCCUGCGCUGCAAGGCAGGGCAUGGUGGCAGAUUAACACCUGGAUGAACACGGGCAGGUCAGGAGACAAAUAAAACCCAGAGGUCUUUGAAACUUCAAAAUCCCGUAGGGUGUGUGACCCCAGUGAGCCCCACGCUACAUCCAGCGAGAACCGAGAAGUGAUGGUGCAGACAUUCUUGGGUCCCCCAGACAGAACACACCGGGAGUUACUGCCUCUUUCUCAUCCCGAGUCCUCCUGACUUUCCCCAGCACCCAUCGUGGCUGCAGCCAGGACACAGGUAAAUGUAAUUUCCCUCCCCUUCCAUCCUCGCUUUCACAUCGGUGUGAUUGACUGAGGGCCUGCAGACUCUCUCCACGUGCGGGUGCCCUGCAGCCUGACACACAAAUGCGUUCAUCCUUCCCCUUUAUCCUGACCCCGAACUAAUGACGCAGCUUCCUGAGACACAGAGGAUGCUUCUCCUCGUCCCCCCUCGCGCUCUGAAGUGGGAAAAGAUGUGUUCCAUCUGUUCUGGAAUUUUCACUGUAAAGAAGAGAAUGAAUUUUAACUGUGUUUUUGACAUAUCCCUAAACAAGAAGUGGUUUAUAGAGUGAAACCAUUUUCCCUUCAUCUAAAAUUUAAAAAAAAAAAAAAAGAGAGAGAAAAGUGCAAGACUGAAGAUGUGUGUUGAGCGGGGUGAGGAAGCGUGGGGGACUCGGCGCUGGAGGAGCCCCGGGUGUGUUUAGGGUUUGUGGUCAGGGGCCCUGGGCACCAGGUCCAGUCUGAAGCACCCGGGGGGAUGGACGAUGUUUGUGUAAGAGAGGGACAAAGGGAUGGCAGGGUGGCCAAGCAGAGACGCGAUUCCCUCUGUGCCCUUCCUGGACCAGCUUUGUAUUCUAACAGCAACGUCUCUGUUCUUGGGAAGAGCUCCUCGGUGAUUACCUGCCCGCCCCUUGUCUCCUCUUAUUCCCGCUGCCACAGGGCAGGGCCGCCCAGCUCCAGCUCAGACACACACCUGCUCCAACUGCUGUGCUGGUCACAGGCCCAGAGCACCACGUGUCCUCUGGGGUCUGUGUGGUCGGCGCCGUGCGUGGGACCACUGUGAGUGACCCUCCUCUUGUGUCACAGAGCCACUGUACCCGUGUGCACCUGUGCUCUGAGACCUGGAUACCCCUGGAAGGACAGACACCGAGGACCCGAGUGCACUGGAGUCCCGCUCCCACAGAUCCUGCUGCUGGGAGAACUGUCAGCCAGGAACGGGACUGCGGUGGGGAAUUCCUUCUGUCAACACACUUUCUAAUCUAAGCUCCAGACUCCACUUCCAGACUAGCACAGGCUUUUUCCCCCACAUCUCCUUCUCUGCAGCCGGGGCUCCUGCCGGGUCUGCGGAGCCCAGAGCCAUGCUCUCUGCCGACUCCAUCUCCAGAUGCCUGCCCCGGCACCCACGCUGUUGCCAGGACACCAGUGAACCCAGACAGGGUGAGCAGGUUGCAGCAGGGUACCGGGAGGAAUGCCCGGCUGGCCCAUGUCUUGAAAUCAGUCUCAUUGAACAAUCCGGGAAAGAGAUGACCUAGCCUAUUCUAAGGCUAUCGAUGUGAAUUGGAUUCUUCCAUUUCCCCUGAAUUCUCUGAUUAAAAUGAUAAUUAUGCAAUA